RNA transcript from Cucumis melo (muskmelon), 1825 nucleotides. It is a transcript of the gene named PI-PLC X domain-containing protein At5g67130, with no coding region annotated. Lineage: Eukaryota; Viridiplantae; Streptophyta; Magnoliopsida; Cucurbitales; Cucurbitaceae. The transcript has 9 exons. The record is from RefSeq and is a predicted model, not a curated record.
GGUUUAAGUUUGUCUUAAAAUAAGAGAAAAAUUAAAGCUAAGGGAAGGAAGAAAAAAAUCCCGCGUUUGAUACCCAAAAUUUGUCAUCUUCCCUUUUGCUUUGCUCGAUCUUCUUCUCUCUACUGUCUGAGCUCUGCAAUGUUAUCAAGCAGUUUAUGGGAAAUUCCUUCUUCGUCUGCCAUUUUGUACAUCUUUCUGACUCUCUUCUCAUUCCUUAUUUCCAUUUCAUUCGCUUGCUUUAAUGGAAAUUGCCAGGUUUUGGAAGCUUGUACGGCUGCUACGGAUUGUGGGUCAGGUCUCUAUUGUGGGAAUUGCCCUGCUUCUGGCAAGAACCAACCUGUUUGUACUAGAGGCCAAGCAAUCGUUCCCACUUCUGUUAUUAAUGGGUUGCCAUUCAACAAGUACACUUGGUUAGUGACUCAUAACUCGUUCAGUAUUGUUGAUGCUCCGCAAUUGGAUGGAGUUCAGAGAUUGACGUUUUACAAUCAAGAGGAUACUGUAACUAAUCAAUUAAGAAAUGGAGUGAGGGGACUGAUGCUGGAUAUGUAUGAUUUCCAAAACGAUAUCUGGCUCUGCCAUUCAUUCAGGGGACAAUGUUUCAACUUCACUGCUUUUCAACCAGCAAUUAACACAUUAAGAGAAGUGGAAGCAUUCUUAACUGAGAACCCAACUGAAAUUGUGACCAUUAUAAUUGAAGACUAUGUGCAUACUCCAAAGGGGUUGAUAACUUUAUUCACCAAUGCUGGGCUGGACAAAUACUGGUUUCCAGUGUCCAAGAUGCCAAAGAAGGGAGAAGAUUGGCCUACAGUCACUGACAUGGUGCAACAGAAUCAUCGGCUUCUUGUUUUCUCAUCCAUCGCAUCAAAGGAAGCCGAGGAAGGAAUUGCUUACCAGUGGAAGUACAUGUUGGAAAACGAACCUGGUGAUCCUGGAGUUGUACCUGGUUCAUGCCCAAACCGAAGAGAAUCGAAACCACUGAGAUCAAGGAGUUCUUCUCUGUUCCUUCAGAAUUACUUCCCUACAUAUCCAGUGGAAGCUGAGGCUUGCAAGGAGCAUGCCAAUCCACUUUUUAAUAUGAUCUCCACAUGCUAUAAAGCAUCUGGGAUCUUGCCAAACUUUUUGGCUGUUAAUUUUUACAUGAGAAGUGAAGGCGGAGGAGUCUUCGAUGCUUUGGAUAAGAUUAAUGGCCAGACGCUAUGUGGGUGUAGCACACUUGCUGCCUGCCAGGCUGGAGCUCCUCCCGGUACUUGCAAGAGUAUUCCAGCACCUAACACUGGCUCAAUGAGCAGUACCUCUGGCAGCUUUACCGGGUCUGUUCAAUUCUCGAAAUCAUCAGCUUCGAGAGUCCAUUCGCCGAAUCUCUUGGUCCUAUGGCUUUUCUACUUACCAUUGUUGGCAUUCUUAAAAACGACAAUCAACACUCAUCUAAUUGGAUUUUGAGCAAGUAUUCAUGGAGGUUAAUGUAGUAUAUUGUAUGUAAAGAUUGAGUCAUACCUGAUGUGCAUCCCGGCCAUCUUAUAGAGAUUAUUAGAGUGAUAGACUCUAACAUUAAAGGAAACAUAUUUUGAGAUUUUCAUCCAGGGAAGGUAAGUUGUUGCGGAGUUACAGGAGGAUCCAAAACCGAAAUAGAUCGAGCAUAUGACACGAGCUAGUUCAGGUUUCCUUGGAGGCAAAAUGAAACAAUGAGUGGGUGUAAGGCAAUCAUCUCUCUUAUGGAUUAUAUUGAAGACUUCUUUAUAUACUUUUGUUUGUUCUGAUUUGCUUCCUAUCUUAAUUGGAUAAUUGUCUCACUCAAUUCAUUAUACCACCAUUCAUCUUUGCCUAA